Molecule: long non-coding RNA, 309 nt
Organism: Saccostrea echinata
Lineage: Eukaryota; Metazoa; Mollusca; Bivalvia; Ostreida; Ostreidae
Exons: 2
Source: RefSeq, a predicted model, not a curated record
UCAAAAUUUUAACUAAGUAUGUGUCCUUUCCAGAUCUGUGUAAAUUUUGAGGUCAACCGGACCUCCUUUUGCAAGGACUGUUACUAAAAAUAGACAUUGCCUCGUGAAAUUACAGAAAUGCAGUAAUUACAAUAUUUAUGCUAGCUUUUUAAAAUUAAAUGUAAAUGAAAAACUUAAACAUAUGAAUUAUAGAGAAGAUAUGCUUGUUUAACGGUUUUAUUAAUUUUUUAAUCUGCUGAUCCACUUUAUUGUACUUUUUAUGGCGAAUUAAACAUAUUUAUCUCAAAAUUAUGAAAUUUCUGUUUGAUA